RNAcentral lists this ribosomal RNA (432 nucleotides) under uncultured bacterium. RNAcentral describes it as "partial 16S ribosomal RNA". It matches the Rfam family "Bacterial small subunit ribosomal RNA", at positions 29 to 507 of the family's 1533-position model. The record is from RNAcentral.
AACGAACGCUGGCGGCAUGCCUAACACAUGCAAGUCGAACGAGACCUUCGGGUCUAGUGGCGCACGGGUGCGUAACGCGUGGGAACCUGCCCUUAGGUUCGGAAUAACUCCCCGAAAGGGGUGCUAAUACCGGAUAAUGUCUUCGGACCAAAGAUUUAUCGCCUUUGGAUGGGCCCGCGUUGGAUUAGCUAGUUGGUAGGGUAAAAGCCUACCAAGGCGACGAUCCAUAGCUGGUCUGAGAGGAUGGUCAGCCACACUGGGACUGAGACACGGCCCAGACUCUCGAGGAUGGGCGAAGGGGGGAAAAUGGAAAACGGGGUGAAAGACGAACCCCUCAUGACCGGGAGGUUGUUGAAGUCCUGAGGGAUGAAAAUGUUUUUACCCCGGGAUGUAAAGAAGAGACCCGGAGAAAAAGCCCCGGGCAACCCCGUG